UAACAAGGUUUCCGUAGGUGAACCUGCGGAAGGAUCAUUAAUAAAUGGCGAAAGCUUUCUAUUAUCCAUAACACCUGUGAACUAUUUGCCUUCGGGCACCAAUCCAAACAUAAUGUAAUGAAUGUAAUCUACUAUAAUAAAUAUAACUUUCAACAACGGAUCUCUUGGCUCUCACAUCGAUGAAGAACGCAGCGA
Molecule: unclassified non-coding RNA, 195 nt
Filed under: uncultured fungus
Lineage: Eukaryota; Fungi
Description: partial contains 18S rRNA, ITS1, 5.8S rRNA
Rfam family: 5.8S ribosomal RNA (bases 145-195)
Source: RNAcentral